RNAcentral lists this ribosomal RNA (505 nucleotides) under uncultured bacterium. RNAcentral describes it as "partial 16S ribosomal RNA". It matches the Rfam family "Bacterial small subunit ribosomal RNA", at positions 28 to 507 of the family's 1533-position model. The record is from RNAcentral.
GACGAACGCUGGCGGCGUGCCUAAUACAUGCAAGUAGAACGCACAGUUUAUACCGUAGCUUGCUACACCAUAAACUGUGAGUUGCGAACGGGUGAGUAACGCGUAGGUAACCUGCCUGGUAGCGGGGGAUAACUAUUGGAAACGAUAGCUAAUACCGCAUAAUAUUAAUUAUUGCAUGAUAAUUGAUUGAAAGAUGCAAUUGCAUCACUACCAGAUGGACCUGCGUUGUAUUAGCUAGUAGGUGAGGUAACGGCUCACCUAGGCGACGAUACAUAGCCGACCUGAGAGGGUGAUCGGCCAAACUGGGACUGAGACACGGCCCAGACUCCUACGGGAGGCAGCAGUAGGGAAUCUUCGGCAAUGGACGAAAGUCUGACCGAGCAACGCCGCGUGAGUGAAGAAGGUUUUCGGAUCGUAAAGCUCUGUUGUAAGGGAAGAACGGGUGUGAGAGUGGAAAGUUCACACUGUGACGGUAUCUUACCAGAAAGGGACGGCUAACUACGUG